RNAcentral lists this ribosomal RNA (1388 nucleotides) under uncultured bacterium. RNAcentral describes it as "16S ribosomal RNA". It matches the Rfam family "Bacterial small subunit ribosomal RNA", at positions 36 to 1398 of the family's 1533-position model. The record is from RNAcentral.
CUGGCGGCUUGCCUAUUACAUGCAAGUCGAGCGCAGUUUUUCUGGUGCUUGCACCGGAUAACCUUAUCGGCGAACGGGUGAUUGUCACCUAAAGAGCCUGCCUCAUAGACUGGGACAACUAUUGGAAACGAUAGCUAAUACCGGAUGACAGGGUUAACUGCCUGGGUGAUGUUUAAAAGUUGGUUUUGCUAACACUAUGAGACUGCUUUGCGGUGCAUUAGCUAGUUGGUGGGGUAAAGGCCUACCAAGGCGACGAUGCAUAGCCGACCUGAGAGGGUGAUCGGCCACACUGGGACUGAGACACGGCCCAGACUCCGACGGGAGGCAGCGGUAGGGAAUCUUCCGCAAUGGGCGAAAGCCUGACGGAGCAACGCCGCGUGAGUGAAGAAGGAUUUCGGUUCGUAAAGCUCUGUUGUUAGGGAAGAAUGAUUGUGUAGUAACUAUACACGGUAUAGACGGUACCUAACCAGAGAGCCACGGCUAACUACGUGCCAGCAGCCGCGGUAAUACGUAGGUGGCAAGGCGUUGUCCGGAAUUAUUGGGCGUAAAGCGCGCGCAGGGUGGUUUAAUAACUCUGAUGUGAAAGCCCACGGCUCAACCGUGGAGGGUCAUUGGAAACUGAUAAACUUGAGUGCAGGAGAGAAAAGUGGAAUUCCUAGUGUAGCGGUGAAAUGCGUAGAGAUUAGGAGGAACACCAGUGGCGAAGGCGGCUUUUUGGCCUGUAACUGACACUGAGGCGCGAAAGCGUGGGGAGCAAACAGGAUUAGAUACCCUGGUAGUCCACGCCGUAAACGAUGAGUGCUAAGUGUUGGUCUCAUAAGAAAUCAGUGCUGCAGCUAACGCAUUAAGCACUCCGCCUGGGGAGUACGACCGCAAGGUUGAAACUCAAAGGAAUUGACGGGGACCCGCACAAGCGGUGGAGCAUGUGGUUUAAUUCGAAGCAACGCGAAGAACCUUACCAAGUCUUGACAUACUGUGAGGACACAAGAGAUUGUGUUGUUCUGACCUUUGGUUAGACACAGAUACAGGUGGUGCAUGGUUGUCGUCAGCUCGUGUCGUGAGAUGUUGGGUUAAGUCCCGCAACGAGCGCAACCCUUAUAUCUAGUUGCCAGCAGUAAGAUGGGGACUCUAGAUAGACUGCCAGUGAUAAACUGGAGGAAGGUGGGGAUGACGUCAAAUCAUCAUGCCCCUUAUGACUUGGGCUACACACGUGCUACAAUGGAUAGGAACAAAGAGAAGCGAGCUCGCGAGAGUAAGCAAACCUCACAAAACUAUUCUCAGUUCGGAUUGUAGUCUGCAACUCGACUGCAUGAAGCUGGAAUCGCUAGUAAUCGCGAAUCAGAAUGUCGCGGUGAAUACGUUCCCGGGUCUUGUACACACCGCCCGUC